RNAcentral lists this ribosomal RNA (66 nucleotides) under Xanthoparmelia aff. caparidensis MAF-Lich 16113. RNAcentral describes it as "partial 28S ribosomal RNA". It matches the Rfam family "Eukaryotic large subunit ribosomal RNA", at positions 1 to 70 of the family's 3401-position model. Lineage: Eukaryota; Fungi; Ascomycota; Lecanoromycetes; Lecanorales; Parmeliaceae. The record is from RNAcentral.
CUCGGAUCAGGUAGGGAUACCCGCUGAACUUAAGCAUAUCAAUAAGCGGAGGAAAAGAAACCAACA